This 141-nucleotide small nuclear RNA is filed under the name Cebus imitator (Panamanian white-faced capuchin). RNAcentral's name for it is "U4 spliceosomal RNA (ENSCCAG00000004224.1)". It matches the Rfam family "U4 spliceosomal RNA". Rfam says of the family: U4 small nuclear RNA (U4 snRNA) is a component of the major U2-dependent spliceosome. Lineage: Eukaryota; Metazoa; Chordata; Mammalia; Primates; Cebidae. The record is from Rfam by way of RNAcentral.
AGCUUUGCACAGUGACAGUAUCGUAGCCAAUAAGGUUUACCCAAGGCGUGAUUAUUGCUAAUUGAAAACUUUUCCCAAUACCCCGCCAUGAUGACUUGAAAUAUAGUCAGCAUUGGCAAUUUUUGACAGUCUCUACGGAGA